AUGGAGGCUCCUGGAGCUGCUCUUGCCGGUGACGGUCUCCAGCAGCAGCACCCCGAAGCUGUAGACGUCGGCCUUCUUGGUGAGAUGGCCGUACAGCGCGUACUCCGGGGCGAGGUACCCCGCGGUCCCCGCGACGCGGGUGCUGACGUGCGUGGCGGCGUCCGGGAAGAGCUUGGCGAGGCCGAAGUCGCCGAUCUUGGCGCCGUAGCCGGCGUCGAGGAGGACGUUGCUGGCCUUAAUGUCCCUGUGCACGAUGGGGCCGGACCCCAUCUCCUCGUGCAGGAACGCCAGGCCCCUGGCGACGCCGACGCACACGCCGCGCCUGAUCGCCCAGGUGAGCCUGGAGGGGUCGCUGGCGGAGGCGAGGAGGGCGCCGUGGAGGCUGCCGUUGCGGAGGAGCUCGUAGACGAGGAUGCGGUGGCGGCCCUCCACGCAGCAGCCCAGCAGGGACACCAGGUUGGGGUGGUCCACGUUGGCGAUGACGUCGAUCUCGGUGAGGAACUCCCUGGUGCCCUGCCGGGAGUGCGCGGACAGCACCUUGACCGCCACGUCGCCGCCGCCGUCCCGCAGCGCACCCUUGUAGACGGCGCCGAAGCCGCCUCGCCCGAUGUGGUUGCUCCGGUGGAAGUUGUUGGUCGCCGACCGCAGCUCCGCGUAGGAGAAGAGCUUGAUCUUCUUCUCAGAUGA
Molecule: ribosomal RNA, 687 nt
Filed under: Triticum aestivum (bread wheat)
Lineage: Eukaryota; Viridiplantae; Streptophyta; Magnoliopsida; Poales; Poaceae
Description: partial small subunit ribosomal RNA
Source: RNAcentral